This 30-nucleotide non-coding RNA is filed under the name Mus musculus (house mouse). The record is from RNAcentral. Lineage: Eukaryota; Metazoa; Chordata; Mammalia; Rodentia; Muridae.
UUGAAUGGGUGGUUCAUCACAUAUUAUGGG